This 220-nucleotide ribosomal RNA is filed under the name Mesopusillimonas faecipullorum. Its description in RNAcentral is "partial 16S ribosomal RNA". It matches the Rfam family "Bacterial small subunit ribosomal RNA", at positions 1315 to 1533 of the family's 1533-position model. Lineage: Bacteria; Pseudomonadati; Pseudomonadota; Betaproteobacteria; Burkholderiales; Alcaligenaceae. The record is from RNAcentral.
CCUGCAUGAAGUCGGAAUCGCUAGUAAUCGCGGAUCAGAAUGCCGCGGUGAAUACGUUCCCGGGUCUUGUACACACCGCCCGUCACACCAUGGGAGUGGGUUUCACCAGAAGUAGGUAGCCUAACCGCAAGGAGGGCGCUUACCACGGUGGGAUUCAUGACUGGGGUGAAGUCGUAACAAGGUAGCCGUAUCGGAAGGUGCGGCUGGAUCACCUCCUUUA